GACGAACGCUGGCGGCGUGCUUAACACAUGCAAGUCGAACGGUGAAGCGCCUUCCUUUUUGGUGGGUGUGGAUGAGUGGCGAACGGGUGAGUAACACGUGAGUAACCUGCCCCCUUCUUCUGGAUAACCGCAUGAAAGUGUGGCUAAUACGGGAUAUUCUGGGUCUGUCGCAUGAUGGGUCUGGGAAAGAUAUUGUUUCGGUGGGGGAUGGGCUCGCGGCCUAUCAGCUUGUUGGUGGGGUGAUGGCCUACCAAGGCGGUGACGGGUAGCCGGCCUGAGAGGGUGGACGGUCACACUGGGACUGAGACACGGCCCAGACUCCUACGGGAGGCAGCAGUGGGGAAUAUUGCACAAUGGGCGAAAGCCUGAUGCAGCGACGCCGCGUGAGGGAUGGAGGCCUGCGGGUUGUGAACCUCUUUCGCCAGUGAAGCAGGCCUGCCUCGUUUGUGGGUGGGUUGACGGUAGCUGGAUAAGAAGCGCCGGCUAACUACGUG
Molecule: ribosomal RNA, 494 nt
Filed under: uncultured bacterium
Lineage: Bacteria
Description: partial 16S ribosomal RNA
Rfam family: Bacterial small subunit ribosomal RNA
Source: RNAcentral